GUGCUAGCUUCGGCAGCACAUAUACUAAAAUUGGACCCAUACAGAGAAGAUUAUCAUGGCCCCUGCGCAAGGAUGACAGGCAAAUUCGUGAAGCAUUCCAUAUUUUU
Molecule: small nuclear RNA, 107 nt
Organism: Ictidomys tridecemlineatus (thirteen-lined ground squirrel)
Lineage: Eukaryota; Metazoa; Chordata; Mammalia; Rodentia; Sciuridae
Source: Ensembl